Molecule: ribosomal RNA, 468 nt
Filed under: uncultured bacterium
Lineage: Bacteria
Description: partial 16S ribosomal RNA
Rfam family: Bacterial small subunit ribosomal RNA
Source: RNAcentral
GACGAACGCUGGCGGCGUGCUUAACACAUGCAAGUCGAACGGAAAGGCCCUGCUUUUGUGGGGUGCUCGAGUGGCGAACGGGUGAGUAACACGUGAGUAACCUGCCCUUGACUUUGGGAUAACUUCAGGAAACUGGGGCUAAUACCGGAUAGGAGCUCCUGCUCCAUGGUGGGGGUUGGAAAGUUUCGGCGGUUGGGGAUGGACUCGCGGCUUAUCAGCUUGUUGGUGGGGUAGUGGCUUACCAAGGCUUUGCCGGGUAGCCGGCCUGAGGGGGUGACCGGCCACAUUGGGACUGAGAUACGGCCCAGACUCCUACGGGAGGCAGCAGUGGGGAAUAGUGCACAAUGGGCGGAAGCCUGAUGCAGCAACGCCGCGUGCGGGAUGACGGCCUUCGGGUUGUAAACCGCUUUCGCCUGUGACGAAGCGUGAGUGACGGUAAUGGGUAAAGAAGCACCGGCUAACUACGUG